Molecule: long non-coding RNA, 178 nt
Organism: Lineus longissimus
Lineage: Eukaryota; Metazoa; Nemertea; Pilidiophora; Heteronemertea; Lineidae
Exons: 3
Source: RefSeq, a predicted model, not a curated record
AAAACUUCCCCCAUUUCGCAUGUGCGGGCAACUUACGCACACACAUUUUGCUGAGAAGCAAUCGGGAUAAAAGAGGGAUGGUUUAUACACAAGCGCCCCAAAGCCGAGAAACAUUAUGUUAUCGUGAAUUAAGCGCCAUGCAGAUAUAAACAGCCCUUGCUGCCCGCCCGAUUAAAAG